Osmerus eperlanus (European smelt) is the source of this 1174-nucleotide long non-coding RNA. RefSeq lists it as uncharacterized. NCBI's taxonomy places the organism in Eukaryota, Metazoa, Chordata, Actinopteri, Osmeriformes, Osmeridae. The record is from RefSeq and is a predicted model, not a curated record. The transcript has 4 exons.
GACUGUGGAGCUAGCGUGGCUGAUCACGUUUUAAUCACAGUCGGUCAUGGCAUGCACAGCAAUGGCGUCUGUAAAAGUAUCAUGUCACAAAUUUUUCCAAUUUGUACAUGACAUCUGUUUUUGGAUACGUUUAUUCGUUUUAACCUUUAGAUGCGUGAGUUCUAAAUAUUUCCGACGCUUCCACCAUUUAUUUUUCCAAAACGGCAGCUAGGUAGCUUUAAUUAGCUUCCGUUACCUAGCAACCUAGCAUAAUACUCGUAGCAAUGCUACUACCUGCUAGUGUUACUUGUUAGCCUACUAAUUGUAAAUUUUGAAGCCAUACUAUAGCGUUUGUCAUAUAGUUUUUGUCUAUCGGAAAAUAGUCGGUUGGAAUGUUCAGAAUCACACAUGUGCGACGCUACAAUGUGGGGCCCUGCUUUCGAACGAUCACAUAUGUGCAAUGCUACUCCUUUAAUAUCAAUAUGCUAAAACUAUGUACAUAAACUACAUUCCACUUUCAUUUCUGUACAGAUUAUCCUACCACCGUCACACGGCCUAGCACUGUGUCCCUGGGAAAUGAUGAUUCCAUACCCCUAGAUGUCAACUCUGGUCUGGUGGAGGUGAACCCAUUGGGGGCCCAGGAAAACAGCUGGCAGCCAGGCAAGUGCAAAUAUAAGACACUCAAAAAUAUAUAUGCUUUGUAUACAACCAUUCAAGGUAACAUUUGUUAUUUACAUCAAUGUUACAGCUAAUCUAGAAUAACCACAGUGUAUGCCAAUCAUGCUAACUCUUGUAAACUUGUUUUACUUGUCUUUAAUGACAGACACAUUACAGGUUAUGCUCUGGAAGAUGGAGACAUUGGAGGAGAACCAGCGAGAGGCUCUCCUAUUCAGGCGACUACAGGGCAGACACACUAAAGAGGUGCCAGUGAUGGACCUACAGGUGGCCCAAACACAGGCUGAACUCCAAGACCUUGAGGAGCGCCUUAAGGUACUGGAGUUGCGAAAGAGAGUGACGCUGUGAUGAAGUGGAAGACGGGACUGGGAGAGAAAGCUGUGGAGCUCCUCAUAGAGGAGACACUCAAACACACCCCGGCAGCCCAUUAAAAACAAGCCAGGGCCAACAGACAGGACCUGUAGCUGGGACUGGCAGAAGAUUUGAAUUCACUGUUUGGCACUUUGUUUGAAAUAAAAUG